UGGGGAUUUGUGUAAUGGCAGCACGACAGACUCUGACUCUGUUUGUGAGGGUUCAAAUCCUUCAUCCCCAGCCA
Molecule: transfer RNA, 74 nt
Filed under: Clostridiales bacterium
Lineage: Bacteria; Bacillati; Bacillota; Clostridia; Eubacteriales
Also listed under: 3 other names
Description: tRNA-Gln
Rfam family: tRNA
About the family: Transfer RNA (tRNA) molecules are approximately 80 nucleotides in length. Their secondary structure includes four short double-helical elements and three loops (D, anti-codon, and T loops).
Source: RNAcentral